This 1387-nucleotide long non-coding RNA is filed under the name Coturnix japonica (Japanese quail). Its description in RNAcentral is "lncRNA (ENSCJPG00005001877.1)". The record is from RNAcentral. Lineage: Eukaryota; Metazoa; Chordata; Aves; Galliformes; Phasianidae.
AGCUUCCAUCCGGGCUGUAACCAAUCCUCGCUCGUCCGCCUCUUCUAUUGGCUGCUUUUCUAUCUUCCUCUCUUCUCUCCUUCCUCUCAUCCUGAUUUCCCUCUUCUAUUUUCUAUCUUCUUUAUUUUUGGCCUAUUUUCUUCCCUAUUUUCUUCUUUUUCUUCCCUAUUUUCUAUCUUCUUUUUUGCCUAUUUUCUUCUCAUUUUUUCCCUGUUUUCUUCUUUUUUUUCCCUAUUUUCCUCUUUUUUCCCAAUUUUCUUCUUUUUAAUUUGCUUUUUUUUUGGCUUAUUUUCUUUUUUCUUUUUCUUUUUGCUUAUUUUCUUUUUUCUUUUUUUUUGCUUAUUUUCUUUUUUCUUUUUUUUUUUGCUUAUUUUCUUUUUUCUUUUUUUUGCUUAUUUUCUUUUUUUUGCUUUUUUUUUUCCUUUUUUGGCUUAUUUUCUUUUUUUGCUUUUUUUUUUUUUCCUUUUUUUGCUGUUUUUUUUCUUUUGGCUUAUUUUUUCUUUUUUCUUUGCUUAUUUUUUUUCUUUUUUUUUUUUGCCUAUUUUCUUCUUUUUUUCCCUAUUUUCUUCUUAUUUUCCCUAUUUCUUCUUGUAUUUUCCUCUUUACCAUCUCCUUCCUUUUUCCUAUGCUCAUUUUUUUCUAUUUUCUUGGAUUUUCCCCUAUUUUUUAAGUAUUCUUCUAUUUUCUCGUUUUCCUAACUCACUUUUUGUUUCCAUUUUCUUUCUUUUCCACUUCAUUUCUCUAUUGCCUUCUUUCAUUUCUCUUAUUUUCUACCUUCUCUCUUUUUUUUUCCUAUUUCCUCUUCUAUUUUUUCUGCUUUUCUUCUAUUUUCUCCUCUCUUCUAAUUUUCUUCUAUUUUUCCUAUUUUCUCUAUUCUUCUGUUUCUUCACUUUCUAUUCUUCUCUACUUCUCCUUUUCUCUUCUUUUUUUUCCUAUUUUUCCCCAAUUUUCUCUAUUUUUUCUGCUUCUCUUCCAUUUCUACUUCUCUUUUUUCUAUUAUUCCCUAUUUUUUCCUCUUCUUUUUUUCCAUUAAUCUCCAAUUUUCCUUUUUCCCCCCCAAUUAUUUCCUUCUCUCCUCUGUCUUUUUCUUUCCAUCGUUUCCUCCUCUCUUUCAUUGUUUUUUGGCCAUUAUUUCCUCUUUUGCUCCCGUUUCCAUUUUGCCCUCCGCCUUCCGUCCUACGGACCCCAAUACAUAUUUUGAACCAAAAAGUCCUUUUUUCUCCUCUAAAUCCUCCCUGCCUCGUCGCCGCCUCCGCUCUUCCCGGCUCUGAAAUGCCAAAUUCUCCUAAAACGCCCCCAAAACAGCUCCAACGGGGACCAAAACGCCUUUUCUCCUCCUCCUCUUGCCACGUUUUGGGUUAAGAAUGCAGCUUUUUUGGCUGUGUUG